Molecule: long non-coding RNA, 1299 nt
Filed under: Ficedula albicollis (Collared flycatcher)
Lineage: Eukaryota; Metazoa; Chordata; Aves; Passeriformes; Muscicapidae
Description: lncRNA (ENSFALG00000025546.1)
Source: RNAcentral
AAAUAUAUUUAUGGGAUUACACCUCUAAAUAGGGGUAAGAUUAAUUAGUAUUAAUGUGGUUUUUCAUGGUCUAUACAUGUGAAAUAUGGAGAAAAGCACAGGGAUUUUCUCUUUUUCCACAGGAGAGGCUGCACUUCUUCAAAAUCUCCUUCAAGAAUCUGCCAAGAACAGAAAGAAGUAGAAAAAGGCAAGAAGAGAACCCAGGCUGAGCCCAAACAUCCCCAGGGGCCUCCAAAACAGGAUGCCAAGGUGGCUGAGCCCCAGAGAUCAGAAGGCAAAGUUUCCACGCUGGAGGAGCCUCCAAGUGAGUUUUAUUUUUGCUUUUUGUCAAGUCUGAGCCACUUCUUCCUCUUCUGCUGCCAUAAUUAGUAACCAGAAGUAAAUUUCCUGUUGUUUCCACAACAAAAGCAAUCAUCUUUUACUUCUUUCUUAAACACUUCUGUAUUUCUGUCUUAAUUUCUCAAUGUUUUUUUGUAAUUUGAAUCUCCUUGACUGAAGUUAGAGUAAAAUCUGAGUCACAGGCUGGAAAUGCUUUCCCUCCUCCUGAGCCAGGACCUGAAAGGAUCUAAAUUGAAGAGGAAUCUGUAUUUCAAUUUUUACAAUUAACUUGUGGUUAAUAAGAGCUCCAUCAGAAAAUAAUUCUGCAGGUAAAGAGGGAAGGGGCCACAAAGUAUUUGGCAGAGUGGAUUUUUAGCUGCAGACUCUGAGAGUUGUGUGAUUUCUUCUUCAUGUCUGGCUUGGUUUUUUUUGCUUUUUUUUUAAUAAACAAAUCAUUUUAUAGAAAGAACUCUCAUCCCCUAAAACUCCCCCAGUGCCAGAGUUACUUUUAUGCACUGGAAGUGAAAUUCAGGCAGUUCUGAGCUUCAAAGGGAAAUCCUUUCCUAAAUUUUCCUGGGGGUUUUCACCACCUGCUCUCACCUGUCUGAAGCCUUUGGUGCCUGUUCCUGGCAUAUUUAAAUACCUGGGGAGGUGCCAAAGCACAGAGCACUUGAAAAUUGGCUUUUGGGAAACCACUGAAGGUGUGUUAGAAAAUAUUAUUUUUGAAUGAGCAGCAGGAGGGAGUGAUCCUGACCUUGGGAGCUUUGUGAACACCUUGAAGGGUUUGAGGAUUUCUUGGAAGAUGGGGUGAAGGCUGCAUAGGAACUCUCAAGAUGUUUUUGUUGGAAAGAUGUCAAGGCUGGGAGAGUUGGGGUUGUUCAGCCUGGGAAAGGUUUUAUAGAGAGCUGAGAGUUGGGGUUGUUCAGCCUGGGAAAGGCUUUAUGGAGAGCUCAGAGCCUAAAGGGGCUCCAGGAGAGCUCU